GUGCUAUACAUGCAGUCGAGCGAACGGACGAGAAGCUUGCUUCUCUGAUGUUAGCGGCGGACGGGUGAGUAACACGUGGAUAACCUACCUAUAAGACUGGGAUAACUUCGGGAAACCGGAGCUAAUACCGGAUAAUAUUUUGAACCGCAUGGUUCAAAAGUGAAAGACGGUCUUGCUGUCACUUAUAGAUGGAUCCGCGCUGCAUUAGCUAGUUGGUAAGGUAACGGCUUACCAAGGCAACGAUGCAUAGCCGACCUGAGAGGGUGAUCGGCCACACUGGAACUGAGACACGGUCCAGACUCCUACGGGAGGCAGCAGUAGGGAAUCUUCCGCAAUGGGCGAAAGCCUGACGGAGCAACGCCGCGUGAGUGAUGAAGGUCUUCGGAUCGUAAAACUCUGUUAUUAGGGAAGAACAUAUGUGUAAGUAACUGUGCACAUCCUGACGGUACCUAAUCAGAAAGCCACGGCUAACUACGUGCCAGCAGCCGCGGUAAUACGUAGGUGGCAAGCGUUAUCCGGAAUUAUUGGGCGUAAAGCGCGCGUAGGCGGUUUUUUAAGUCUGAUGUGAAAGCCCACGGCUCAACCGUGCAGGGUCAUUGGAAACUGGAAAACUUGAGUGCAGAAGAGGAAAGUGGAAUUCCAUGUGUAGCGGUGAAAUGCGCAGAGAUAUGGAGGAACACCAGUGGCGAAGGCGACUUUCUGGUCUGUAACUGACGCUGAUGUGCGAAAGCGUGGGGAUCAAACAGGAUUAGAUACCCUGGUAGUCCACGCCGUAAACGAUGAGUGCUAAGUGUUAGG
RNAcentral lists this ribosomal RNA (798 nucleotides) under Staphylococcus aureus. RNAcentral's name for it is "bacterial SSU rRNA". It matches the Rfam family "Bacterial small subunit ribosomal RNA", at positions 44 to 827 of the family's 1533-position model. Lineage: Bacteria; Bacillati; Bacillota; Bacilli; Caryophanales; Staphylococcaceae. The record is from RNAcentral.